Non-coding RNA from Grammomys surdaster, 269 nucleotides. NCBI's taxonomy places the organism in Eukaryota, Metazoa, Chordata, Mammalia, Rodentia, Muridae. The record is from RefSeq and is a predicted model, not a curated record.
AAAUAUUAGACUUUAUCUGGGUUUAUGGUACCCUAGAACACACCAGACUUGAAAUAAAAGCAUGGUCCAGAGGAAGCUGAGCCAUCCUUGCUUAAAAGCCAGGGGUUCUAUGUACAGUUUCCCUCUGCUAGGUCCUGGGUACUGUUUCCAUGGUGAUAAAAGCUGUGCCAUGUCAUUAUCGAUCCACCAACAGUAAGAGAAGCUUUGCAGUCAGGAUAAUGUUUAGCAGACAGCAUGGUUUCUCUUGGACACUAAGUACUGCUACAAAA